Long non-coding RNA from Nothoprocta perdicaria, 182 nucleotides. RefSeq lists it as uncharacterized. The transcript has 2 exons. The record is from RefSeq and is a predicted model, not a curated record. Lineage: Eukaryota; Metazoa; Chordata; Aves; Tinamiformes; Tinamidae.
CGUAAUGCUUUAUGGAACUUGCMUGUUGUCACUUUGAAGAGUGAGGACUGAGAAAAUGAAGAUUCAUUAACGCUCUAACGGCGGAUGUCGGACAACUCGUACAGUGAAGGAGGCUGCUCCCGUCACCAUCCGCAUGCUCGGGCUGGGAUACCUGCCCUGCCUUGCCUUGCCUUCCGAGCAGC